RNAcentral lists this ribosomal RNA (543 nucleotides) under Salmonella enterica subsp. enterica serovar Wien. RNAcentral describes it as "partial 23S ribosomal RNA". It matches the Rfam family "Bacterial large subunit ribosomal RNA", at positions 681 to 1221 of the family's 2925-position model. The record is from RNAcentral. Lineage: Bacteria; Pseudomonadati; Pseudomonadota; Gammaproteobacteria; Enterobacterales; Enterobacteriaceae.
GUCUUAACCGGGCGUUAAGUUGCAGGGUAUAGACCCGAAACCCGGUGAUCUAGCCAUGGGCAGGUUGAAGGUUGGGUAACACUAACUGGAGGACCGAACCGACUAAUGUUGAAAAAUUAGCGGAUGACCUGUGGCUGGGGGUGAAAGGCCAAUCAAACCGGGAGAUAGCUGGUUCUCCCCGAAAGCUAUUUAGGUAGCGCCUCGUGAAUUCAUCUCCGGGGGUAGAGCACUGUUUCGGCUAGGGGGCCAUCCCGGCUUACCAACCCGAUGCAAACUGCGAAUACCGGAGAAUGUUAUCACGGGAGACACACGGCGGGUGCUAACGUCCGUCGUGAAGAGGGAAACAACCCAGACCGCCAGCUAAGGUCCCAAAGUCAUGGUUAAGUGGGAAACGAUGUGGGAAGGCCCAGACAGCCAGGAUGUUGGCUUAGAAGCAGCCAUCAUUUAAAGAAAGCGUAAUAGCUCACUGGUCGAGUCGGCCUGCGCGGAAGAUGUAACGGGGCUAAACCAUGCACCGAAGCUGCGGCAGCGACGCUGAUGCGU